UGGGGAAUAUUGGACAAUGGGCGCAAGCCUGAUCCAGCCAUGCCGCGUGAGUGAUAAAGGCCCUAGGGUUGUAAAGCUCUUUCACCGGUGAAGAUAAUGACGGUAACCGGAGAAGAAGCCCCGGCUAACUUCGUGCCAGCAGCAGCGGUAAUACGAAGGGGGCUAGCGUUGUUCGGAUUUACUGGGCGUAAAGCGCACGUAGGCGGACUUUUAAGUCAGGGGUGAAAUCCCGGGGCUCAACCCCGGAACUGUCUUUGAUACUGGAAGUCUUGAGUAUGGUAGAGGUGAGUGGAAUUCCGAGUGUAGAGGUGAAAUUCGUAGAUAUUCGGAGGAACACCAGUGGCGAAGGCGGCUCACUGGACCAUUACUGACGCUGAGGUGCGAAAGCGUGGGGAGCAAACAGG
RNAcentral lists this ribosomal RNA (404 nucleotides) under Actinomycetes bacterium. Its description in RNAcentral is "Actinobacteria bacterium partial 16S ribosomal RNA". It matches the Rfam family "Bacterial small subunit ribosomal RNA", at positions 355 to 776 of the family's 1533-position model. The record is from RNAcentral. Lineage: Bacteria; Bacillati; Actinomycetota; Actinomycetes.